GCCAGGCGAGGUGUCACGUGCCUGUAGUCCCAGCUACUCGGGAGUCUGAGGGUGAAGGAUUGCUUGAGCCCAGGAGUUCUGGGCUGUAGUGCACUAUGCUGAUCGGGUGUCCGCACUAAGUUCGGCAUAAAUAUGGUGACCUCCCGGAAGCGGGGGACCACCGGGUCGCCUAAGGAGGGGUGAACCGGCCCAGGUCGGAAACGGAGCAGGUCAAAUCCUGUACUGAUCAGCAGUGGGACUGUGCCUGUGAAUAGCUACUGCACUCCAUCCAGCCUGGACAACAUAGCGAGACCCCGUUUCU
RNAcentral lists this signal recognition particle RNA (301 nucleotides) under Saimiri boliviensis boliviensis (Bolivian squirrel monkey). RNAcentral's name for it is "Metazoan signal recognition particle RNA (ENSSBOG00000008978.1)". It matches the Rfam family "Metazoan signal recognition particle RNA". From Rfam's summary of the family: The signal recognition particle (SRP) is a universally conserved ribonucleoprotein. It is involved in the co-translational targeting of proteins to membranes. The eukaryotic SRP consists of a 300-nucleotide 7S RNA and six proteins: SRPs 72, 68, 54, 19, 14, and 9. Lineage: Eukaryota; Metazoa; Chordata; Mammalia; Primates; Cebidae. The record is from RNAcentral.